RNAcentral lists this microRNA precursor (134 nucleotides) under Trifolium pratense (red clover). Its description in RNAcentral is "pre miRNA MIR2118". The record is from RNAcentral. Lineage: Eukaryota; Viridiplantae; Streptophyta; Magnoliopsida; Fabales; Fabaceae.
UUUGGUUUGAGGGAGAGAAAGUGGGAGGAAAGAAAAUUACGCAAAUCAAUGAAUGAAUUUGGACUAAAGUUAGUCUAGGUUCAUUCAUUGAUUUGCGUAAUUUUCUUUCCUUUCACUUUCUCUUCCUCAAACCC